Molecule: ribosomal RNA, 377 nt
Filed under: uncultured eukaryote
Lineage: Eukaryota
Description: partial 18S ribosomal RNA
Rfam family: Eukaryotic small subunit ribosomal RNA
Source: RNAcentral
CAAUAGCGUAUAUUUAAGUUGUUGCAGUUAAAAGCUCGUAGUUGGAUUUCGGGUUGGCUUCAGCGGUCUCGCUUUGCGUUUGUACUGCCGCAGCCUUCCUUCUUGCUGGGGACGGUCCUCCGGGCUUCAUUGCUUGGGGUCUGGAAUCAGCGACGUUACUUUGAGUAAAUUAGAGUGUUCAAAGCAAGCCUACGCUCUGAAUAUAAUAGCAUGGGAUAACACGACAGGACUCUGGCCUAUCGUGUUGGUCUGUAGGACCAGAGUAAUGAUUAAGAGGGACAGUCGGGGGCAUUCGUAUUCCGUUGUCAGAGGUGAAAUUCUUGGAUUUACGGAAGACGAACAUCUGCGAAAGCAUUUGCCAAGGAUGUUUUCAUUGA